AAAAAAUAUAGAAACUUUAUUAAUUUAAUAUAUAAAUUAAAAUAUAAAAGGAAAUUACCUAUUUAUCGGUUUAGUAUAAAAGAUCAUUUAUUAGGUUGUUAUAAUUUCUUUUUUAGUAACACUAGAAAUUCAAAUUAUAUUUAUUUUGAUGAUCAAUUGGUAUUUUCUUAUUUUACCAAUUUAAGGCUAAUGCUAGUUAUUUUUACUGAUUAUAUAUUAAAAUUAGGAAUUACAUUGUUUUUGAUUUUCAUACUUUUAAAUAAUCACGUGUUUAUAAAUGCUAAUGUCGCCGGCGGAAGUAGUAGCAACCGUGUCGCUACCACUGCCACUACCAGUAACAGUGACGGUUAUGUACAUUUUCACGAAAUAUCUUUAAAACAAAAUAGUGAUGAAAAAAUAAAAUUUCCUACAAGCUUCGAUUUGAAUAAUCUUACACGUGUCACAUUACCUAAAGAAGAUGUUCAAAUUAAUUAUAUAAAUAAAAAUAUUUAUGAUAAUGUUUUUAAUAAUUUAUUUAUAAUACGUAAACCUAAUGGUUAUAUACAAAUAGAAAUUAAAGAUAACAUAUUUGAAACAACAUGGGAUAAAAUAUUUAUAGUGGAUAAAAUUUGUAUAUACUCUUGUAUAUCAUAUUUUUUUUUCUUUUUUCUUUUAUUUAUAAAGACUUCUACUUUCUUUGAUAUAUCAUACGUAGCAAUAUUUAACACCAUAGCAUACUUGUCUUUUUAUUUUUCCAUAAAACAAAUUGUUUUAUUUUUUUAUGUGUUUAAUGGAAAUGUAUAUAAUAAAGAUUAUAUAUAUGUUAAUGGAAAUAUACAAAAAUUAAAUAUACACUAUGAAUAUUAUCUUCUUCUUUUUUUUAAUUUGCAUUAUUGUUUAUCUUUUAUAAAGCAUAUUGCUUUGUUCUUUCGUGUAAUUUUUAAUUUGAAGUAUGUCUACAAUGAUAGGAGGAGAAGUCCCAAAAUUGGGAGCAACGCAAACGGUAGAGUGCGCUAUUCAACCAGUGUUUACCUAUUAUUUCUCUUGUGCAAAUAUUCAUACGCGCCAAUAAAUUUAAACACAUUAUUAUUAGGAAAAAAUAUAUUAAAUAAUAUAUUAUUAAUAGAUAAUAUAAAUAUAUAUACAUGGAUUAAUAUAACAAUCAUUGUGCUAUUUAAGUGUAUUCAAAUUCUGAUGACAAAAAUAAAUUAUUUUUUAAUUGCUCUUUUUCUUCUUCAUAUUAUUCUGUAUAUUAUUUAUGCUAUUCAUGCACAAAUAUUAAGAUAUAUCAUUUUAAGGAAAAUUGAAAUACUAUACACUUUUAAAAAAAUAAUCAUAUCCAAACAUCAAGAAAUCGAACUAGUACCAUAUAAAUACUCACCUUACAUUACAUGUGAUGACUUGCUAAAAUACUAUUCUGAGGAAGGAUUUUUUUCUGCAGAAAGUAAGAGUGAUUAAAAGGAAAAUAAAGCAAACAAAAAAAAAAAAAAAAAUAUAUAU
RNAcentral lists this long non-coding RNA (1479 nucleotides) under Piliocolobus tephrosceles (Ugandan red Colobus). RNAcentral describes it as "lncRNA (ENSPTEG00000014030.1)". The record is from RNAcentral. Lineage: Eukaryota; Metazoa; Chordata; Mammalia; Primates; Cercopithecidae.